RNAcentral lists this ribosomal RNA (510 nucleotides) under Eucephalobus cf. oxyuroides JH-2004. RNAcentral's name for it is "SSU rRNA". It matches the Rfam family "Eukaryotic small subunit ribosomal RNA", at positions 89 to 590 of the family's 1831-position model. Lineage: Eukaryota; Metazoa; Nematoda; Chromadorea; Rhabditida; Cephalobidae. The record is from RNAcentral.
GCGAAUGGCUCAUUACAACAGCUAUAAUUCACUUGAUCUUGACACAAUUUUACUACUUGGAUAACUGUGGUAAUUCUAGAGCUAAUACAUGCAUUAAAGCUCUGACCUCCUCACGGAAAGAGUGCAUUUAUUAGAACAAAACCAAGCGGCUUCGGCUGUUUUCGGUUGACUCAUAGUAACUGAGCUGAUCGCAUGGUCUUGCACCGGCGACGUGUCUUUCAAGUAUCUGCCGUAUCAACUUUCGAUGGUAGUGUAUCUGACUACCAUGGUGAUCACGCGUAACGGAGAAUAAGGGUUCGACUCCGGAGAGUUCGCCUGAGAAAUAGCGAACACAUCUAAGGAAGGCAGCAGGCGCGAAAAUUACCCACUCUCAGCACGAGGAGGUAGUGACGAAAAAUAACGAGACCGUUCUCUUUCGAGGCCGGUCAUCGGAAUGGGCACAAUUUAAACCCUUUAACGAGUAUCUAUGAGAGGGCAAGUCUGGUGCCAGCAGCCGCGGUAAUUCCAGCU